Molecule: ribosomal RNA, 441 nt
Filed under: uncultured bacterium
Lineage: Bacteria
Description: partial 16S ribosomal RNA
Rfam family: Bacterial small subunit ribosomal RNA
Source: RNAcentral
CCUACGGUAGGCAGCAGUGGGGACUAUUGCUCACUGGGGGAAACCCUGAUCCAGCAACGCCGCGUGCAGGAUGACGGUCUUAGGGUUUUUAACUUCUGUUUUUACGGACAUAAAAUGCCGUAAGUUAAGGGCCAUGCAUCUACUACCUACGUGCCAGCAGCCUCGUUAAUACGGAGGUGGCAAGCUUUUUCCGGACUUACUGGGGUUAACGGGAGCGCAGGCGGUAAGCCAGGUCAGCUGUGAAAAGUACGGGCUUAACUUGGAGAUUGCAGUUGAAACUGGUUUUCUUGAGUGAAGUAGAGGUUGGCGGAAUGCGGAGUGUAGCGGUGAAAUGCGUAGAUAUUCGGAGGAACCCCGGUGGCGAAGGCGGCCAACUGGGCUUUAACUGACGCUGAGGCUCGAAAGUGUGGGGAGCAAACAGGAGUAGAUACCCGUGUAGUC